This 338-nucleotide ribosomal RNA is filed under the name uncultured bacterium. RNAcentral's name for it is "bacterial SSU rRNA". It matches the Rfam family "Bacterial small subunit ribosomal RNA", at positions 1 to 334 of the family's 1533-position model. The record is from RNAcentral.
GUGAGUAGUUCAGAGUUUGAUCCUGGCUCAGGACGAACGCUGGCGGCGUGCUUAACACAUGCAAGUCGAACGGAGUUAAGGAGCUUGCUUCUUAACUUAGUGGCGAACGGGUGAGUAACGCGUGAGGAACCUGCCUUUCAGUGGGGGACAACAGUUGGAAACGACUGCUAAUACCGCAUGAUACUAUUGAGUGGCAUCACUUGAUAGUCAAAGAUUUAUUGCUGAAAGAUGGCCUCGCGUCUGAUUAGCUAGUUGGUGGGGUAACGGCCCACCAAGGCGACGAUCAGUAGCCGGACUGAGAGGUUGACCGGCCACAUUGGGACUGAGAUACGGCCCAG